CCUGCUUACAGUUCGUCAUGUGUCUGUGUGUGUACAUGCAUGUGCGUCUGUGGUAGUGUGCAGUGCGCGUGUGCAAGUGUUUCUUGCACAUGUGUGGCCGUGUGCGUGUGUGUGUGGAGGUGUGUGUGCAUGUGUCUGGUGUUCGUGUGGGCUUGUGCAUGUGUGGUGUGCGUGUGUAUGUGUGGGUGGGUAUGUGCCCAUGUGUGGAGGUGUGCGUGCACACGCGUGUAGAUGGGCGUGUACAUGUGUGGAGGCAUGUGUAUGUGUGGUGUGCGUGUACGUGUGUGGACGUGUGAGUGCACAUGUGUGUAGAUGGGCGUGUACAUGUGUGGAGGCUUGUGUGUGCACAUGUGGGUGUGGGUGUGCACGUAUGUGGAGGUCUGCGUGUGCCCGUGUGUGAUGUGUGUGCACGUGUAUAGGCAUGUGUGUGGGUGUGUACAUGCAUGUAGGUGUGCAUGUGUGUGCAUGUACAUGUGUAGAGGUGUGCGUUGCACUGUGUGUAGAUGGGCGCGUACAUGUGUGGGGGCAUGCACGUGUGUGUGUGUACAUGUGUGGAGGUGUGCGUGUGUACAUGUGGGUGUGCGUGUGCUCGUGUGGAGGUGUGUGCACGUGUGUAGGCAUGUGUGUGGGUGUGUACAUGUAUGUAGUCGUGCACAUGUGUGUGUACAUGUGUGGAGGUGUCCGUGUGCACGUGUGUGGUGGGCGUGUACACGUGUGUAGGCCUGUGUGUGGGCGUGUACAUGUGCCGAGGCAUGCACGCAUGUGCGUGUCCAUGUGUGGAGGUGUGCGUGUGUAUGUGUGUGUGCGUGUGCACGUGUGUGGAGGUGUGUGCACAUGUGUAGGUGUGUGUGUGGGUAUGUACAUAUGCGGAGGAGUGCACGUGUGUAUACUUGUGUGGAUGUGUGCAUGUGCACGUGUGUAGGCAUGUGUGUGGGUGUGUACAUGUGUGUAGGCGUGUACGUGUGUGUCCAUGUGUGGAGGUGGGCGUGUGCACGUGUGUGGGCCUGUGUGUGGGAGUGUACACGUGCGGAGGCAUGCACGUGUGUGUGCUUGUGCGUGCAUACAUCGGUUCGUGUGUGCACAUGCAUGAAUAUGAGUGGAAGCUCACAUCUGUUGCAUAUGUGUGCAUGGGCACGUACCCCGACCCCUGACACGGAACCUGUACCCCCGUGUGUCUCCACCGCGGCCUGCCCCCCCUCACCAUGUCGUGUGGCGUGCACACCUGCUCCCCCUGUGGCUGUCCCUGCCUCCCUGGGAGCGGGAGGCUCCCCGCGAUGGGGGCCGGUCAUGCGCUGUGCUUGGACCCGCGAGCCCAGCGCCCGGGGCUGGACGCGCCUCGGAACACACUCAUGACUGUGUGCCCUUCCCCUUCC
Neofelis nebulosa (Clouded leopard) is the source of this 1373-nucleotide RNA transcript. It is a transcript of the gene named keratin-associated protein 5-1-like, with no coding region annotated. The transcript has 4 exons. The record is from RefSeq and is a predicted model, not a curated record. Lineage: Eukaryota; Metazoa; Chordata; Mammalia; Carnivora; Felidae.